RNAcentral lists this ribosomal RNA (2926 nucleotides) under Escherichia coli. RNAcentral describes it as "bacterial LSU rRNA". It matches the Rfam family "Bacterial large subunit ribosomal RNA". The record is from RNAcentral. Lineage: Bacteria; Pseudomonadati; Pseudomonadota; Gammaproteobacteria; Enterobacterales; Enterobacteriaceae.
GGGUUGUGAGGUUAAGCGACUAAGCGUACACGGUGGAUGCCCUGGCAGUCAGAGGCGAUGAAGGACGUGCUAAUCUGCGAUAAGCGUCGGUGAGGUGAUAUGAACCGUUAUAACCGGCGAUUUCCGAAUGGGGAAACCCAGUGUGUUUCGACACACUAUCAUUAACUGAAUCCAUAGGUUAAUGAGGCGAACCGGGGGAACUGAAACAUCUAAGUACCCCGAGGAAAAGAAAUCAACCGAGAUUCCCCCAGUAGCGGCGAGCGAACGGGGAGGAGCCCAGAGCCUGAAUCAGUGUGUGUGUUAGUGGAAGCGUCUGGAAAGGCGCGCGAUACAGGGUGACAGCCCCGUACACAAAAAUGCACAUACUGUGAGCUCGAUGAGUAGGGCGGGACACGUGGUAUCCUGUCUGAAUAUGGGGGGACCAUCCUCCAAGGCUAAAUACUCCUGACUGACCGAUAGUGAACCAGUACCGUGAGGGAAAGGCGAAAAGAACCCCGGCGAGGGGAGUGAAAAAGAACCUGAAACCGUGUACGUACAAGCAGUGGGAGCCUCUUAAUGGGGUGACUGCGUACCUUUUGUAUAAUGGGUCAGCGACUUAUAUUCUGUAGCAAGGUUAACCGAAUAGGGGAGCCGAAGGGAAACCGAGUCUUAACUGGGCGUUAAGUUGCAGGGUAUAGACCCGAAACCCGGUGAUCUAGCCAUGGGCAGGUUGAAGGUUGGGUAACACUAACUGGAGGACCGAACCGACUAAUGUUGAAAAAUUAGCGGAUGACUUGUGGCUGGGGGUGAAAGGCCAAUCAAACCGGGAGAUAGCUGGUUCUCCCCGAAAGCUAUUUAGGUAGCGCCUCGUGAAUUCAUCUCCGGGGGUAGAGCACUGUUUCGGCAAGGGGGUCAUCCCGACUUACCAACCCGAUGCAAACUGCGAAUACCGGAGAAUGUUAUCACGGGAGACACACGGCGGGUGCUAACGUCCGUCGUGAAGAGGGAAACAACCCAGACCGCCAGCUAAGGUCCCAAAGUCAUGGUUAAGUGGGAAACGAUGUGGGAAGGCCCAGACAGCCAGGAUGUUGGCUUAGAAGCAGCCAUCAUUUAAAGAAAGCGUAAUAGCUCACUGGUCGAGUCGGCCUGCGCGGAAGAUGUAACGGGGCUAAACCAUGCACCGAAGCUGCGGCAGCGACGCUUAUGCGUUGUUGGGUAGGGGAGCGUUCUGUAAGCCUGUGAAGGUGGCCUGUGAGGGUUGCUGGAGGUAUCAGAAGUGCGAAUGCUGACAUAAGUAACGAUAAAGCGGGUGAAAAGCCCGCUCGCCGGAAGACCAAGGGUUCCUGUCCAACGUUAAUCGGGGCAGGGUGAGUCGACCCCUAAGGCGAGGCCGAAAGGCGUAGUCGAUGGGAAACAGGUUAAUAUUCCUGUACUUGGUGUUACUGCGAAGGGGGGACGGAGAAGGCUAUGUUGGCCGGGCGACGGUUGUCCCGGUUUAAGCGUGUAGGCUGGUUUUCCAGGCAAAUCCGGAAAAUCAAGGCUGAGGCGUGAUGACGAGGCACUACGGUGCUGAAGCGACAAAUGCCCUGCUUCCAGGAAAAGCCUCUAAGCAUCAGGUAACAUUAAAUCGUACCCCAAACCGACACAGGUGGUCAGGUAGAGAAUACCAAGGCGCUUGAGAGAACUCGGGUGAAGGAACUAGGCAAAAUGGUGCCGUAACUUCGGGAGAAGGCACGCUGAUAUGUAGGUGAAGCGACUUGCUCGUGGAGCUGAAAUCAGUCGAAGAUACCAGCUGGCUGCAACUGUUUAUUAAAAACACAGCACUGUGCAAACACGAAAGUGGACGUAUACGGUGUGACGCCUGCCCGGUGCCGGAAGGUUAAUUGAUGGGGUUAGCGGUAACGCGAAGCUCUUGAUCGAAGCCCCGGUAAACGGCGGCCGUAACUAUAACGGUCCUAAGGUAGCGAAAUUCCUUGUCGGGUAAGUUCCGACCUGCACGAAUGGCGUAAUGAUGGCCAGGCUGUCUCCACCCGAGACUCAGUGAAAUUGAACUCGCUGUGAAGAUGCAGUGUACCCGCGGCAAGACGGAAAGACCCCGUGAACCUUUACUAUAGCUUGACACUGAACAUUGAGCCUUGAUGUGUAGGAUAGGUGGGAGGCUUUGAAGUGUGGACGCCAGUCUGCAUGGAGCCGACCUUGAAAUACCACCCUUUAAUGUUUGAUGUUCUAACGUGGGCCCCUUACCGGGGUUGCGGACAGUGUCUGGUGGGUAGUUUGACUGGGGCGGUCUCCUCCUAAAGAGUAACGGAGGAGCACGAAGGUUGGCUAAUCCUGGUCGGACAUCAGGAGGUUAGUGCAAUGGCAUAAGCCAGCUUGACUGCGAGCGUGACGGCGCGAGCAGGUGCGAAAGCAGGUCAUAGUGAUCCGGUGGUUCUGAAUGGAAGGGCCAUCGCUCAACGGAUAAAAGGUACUCCGGGGAUAACAGGCUGAUACCGCCCAAGAGUUCAUAUCGACGGCGGUGUUUGGCACCUCGAUGUCGGCUCAUCACAUCCUGGGGCUGAAGUAGGUCCCAAGGGUAUGGCUGUUCGCCAUUUAAAGUGGUACGCGAGCUGGGUUUAGAACGUCGUGAGACAGUUCGGUCCCUAUCUGCCGUGGGCGCUGGAGAACUGAGGGGGGCUGCUCCUAGUACGAGAGGACCGGAGUGGACGCAUCACUGGUGUUCGGGUUGUCAUGCCAAUGGCACUGCCCGGUAGCUAAAUGCGGAAGAGAUAAGUGCUGAAAGCAUCUAAGCACGAAACUUGCCCCGAGAUGAGUUCUCCCUGACUCCUUGAGAGUCCUGAAGGAACGUUGAAGACGACGACGUUGAUAGGCCGGGUGUGUAAGCGCAGCGAUGCGUUGAGCUAACCGGUACUAAUGAACCGUGAGGCUUAACCUUACAACGCCGAAG